CGGCGAACGGGUGCGUAACACGUGAACAAUCUGCCCUGAAGUCCGGGAUAGCCUCUGGAAACGGAGAUUAAUACCGGAUGUGGUAUGGUUCCCGCAUGGGGAUCACACCAAAGCUUGGGAUGGCGCUUCAGGAGGGGUUCGCGGCCUAUCAGCUAGUUGGCGGGGUAAUGGCCCACCAAGGCGAAGACGGGUAGCUGGUCUGAGAGGAUGAUCAGCCACACUGGAACUGAGACACGGUCCAG
RNAcentral lists this ribosomal RNA (242 nucleotides) under uncultured bacterium. Its description in RNAcentral is "partial 16S ribosomal RNA". It matches the Rfam family "Bacterial small subunit ribosomal RNA", at positions 96 to 334 of the family's 1533-position model. The record is from RNAcentral.